UACGUAGGGUGCGAGCGUUAAUCGGAAUUACUGGGCGUAAAGCGUGCGCAGGCGGCUUUGCAAGACAGGCGUGAAAUCCCCGGGCUUAACCUGGGAAUGGCGCUUGUGACUGCAGUGCUGGAGUGCGGCAGAGGGGGAUGGAAUUCCGCGUGUAGCAGUGAAAUGCGUAGAUAUGCGGAGGAACACCAAUGGCGAAGGCAAUCCCCUGGGCCUGUACUGACGCUCAUGCACGAAAGCGUGGGGAGCAAACAGG
This 253-nucleotide ribosomal RNA is filed under the name uncultured bacterium. RNAcentral describes it as "partial 16S ribosomal RNA". It matches the Rfam family "Bacterial small subunit ribosomal RNA", at positions 524 to 776 of the family's 1533-position model. The record is from RNAcentral.